CACGUAGGGGGCGAGCGUUGUCCGGAAUCAUUGGGCGUAAAGAGCUCGUAGGCGGCUCGGUAAGUCGGGUGUGAAACCCCCAGGCUCAACCUGGGGACGCCACCCGAUACUGCUGUGGCUAGAGUCCAGUAGGGGAGUGUGGAAUUCCCGGUGUAGCGGUGAAAUGCGCAGAUAUCGGGAGGAACACCAGCGGCGAAGGCGGCACUCUGGGCUGGAACUGACGCUGAGGAGCGAAGGCCAGGGGAGCAAACGGG
This 254-nucleotide ribosomal RNA is filed under the name uncultured bacterium. RNAcentral describes it as "partial 16S ribosomal RNA". It matches the Rfam family "Bacterial small subunit ribosomal RNA", at positions 524 to 776 of the family's 1533-position model. The record is from RNAcentral.